RNAcentral lists this long non-coding RNA (274 nucleotides) under Lathyrus oleraceus (garden pea). RNAcentral's name for it is "Pisum sativum (pea) long non-coding RNA (PSAT_LNC014644)". The record is from RNAcentral. Lineage: Eukaryota; Viridiplantae; Streptophyta; Magnoliopsida; Fabales; Fabaceae.
AAGAGUAAUUUUCCUCUAGUGCCACAUGUAGAGACGAGAUUGGAUUAGAAGUGGAUUAUUUGAGAAUAUUUGUCAUUUACUUUGAAGUCUUUUUUUAUGUGUAUUUUUGUUUUGUUUUGAAAAUGAGGAUAAUUUGGAGCUUUUGGUAGUGGUUAAGAUGAGUUGAAAUAUAGUUGAAGGUAAUUGUUUUUACAUUGAAAUUUAAAUUUUUUCCAUUAUUUCUUAUUUUAAUAGUUUUACUUUUUGUGGAACCGUGUUUUUCUCCCUCAAAAAU